GAGGGUGAUGCCUGCCCAAUGGUUGUAUCUAAAAGCGGUUGAUAAAAGUCGACCUCGUAAGGACAAUUGAAUGGCCGCGGUAACACUGACCGUGAUAAUGUAGCGUAAUCAAUAGCCAAUUAAUUGUUGGCCAGUAUGAAUGGCGCCACGAAGGCCCCACUGUCUUAAGGAAAUUCCCAGUGAAAUUGAAUUCGUAGUGAAGAUGCUACGUCCAAUUUGUUAGACGAAAAGACCCCGUUGAGCUUUACUGGGGCACUUACACGGCCCCGGCCUUCCCGUGUCCGGGAACCGGCCGAAUUUAAAUGGGUGGUUUAGACUAUGUGGCAGCCCCCCGCCGGGGCAGAUGAAACCCCACUCCCCCAUGUCAAAGGGGCUAACCCCCUCUUGGGGGGGAGAGUGUAAGUAGGACAGUUUGGUUGGGGCGACCGCCUUUUAAAGAGUAACGAAGGUGCGCUUAAGGUGCGCAAUUAAUGACUGAAGCCUGACUGCGAGGGGGACACCCCGAGCAGACACCCCUAAGCCCGCCCGAAGGGCGGCGGUGGGG
RNAcentral lists this ribosomal RNA (544 nucleotides) under Palythoa grandiflora. RNAcentral describes it as "partial 16S ribosomal RNA". It matches the Rfam family "Bacterial large subunit ribosomal RNA", at positions 1848 to 2410 of the family's 2925-position model. Lineage: Eukaryota; Metazoa; Cnidaria; Anthozoa; Zoantharia; Sphenopidae. The record is from RNAcentral.